RNAcentral lists this ribosomal RNA (207 nucleotides) under uncultured bacterium. Its description in RNAcentral is "partial 16S ribosomal RNA". It matches the Rfam family "Bacterial small subunit ribosomal RNA", at positions 568 to 774 of the family's 1533-position model. The record is from RNAcentral.
UGUGUAGGCGGCUUUGUUAGUUUGGUGUGAAAUCUCCCGGCUUAACUGGGAGGGUGCGCCGAAUACUGCAAGGCUAGAGUACUGGAGAGGAUAGCGGAAUUCCUGGUGUAGCGGUGAAAUGCGUAGAUAUCAGGAGGAACACCGGCGGUGUAGACGGCUAUCUGGACAGUCACUGACGCUGAGACACGAAAGCGUGGGUAGCAAACA